UGUCAUUCUCGGUUUCAAUCCCCACUGUCUUAUGAUCACUCCUCAAUCUUGCGGAAUGGGGGCGAAGACCGUGCCAGCUACUUCCUGCUGUGCAAGGGCAAAGAUCAGGGUCAGAGAAAUGAAAUCCUUUCACCUUUACUUUAAAAUAUUUUGGGUUGCUAGGUGGGGAGAGCGGGGAAUGCUCUGCAUGACUAACAUUUUAGUGCCCUGAUCAAGGGCUUUGGAACAACACUUAAGUUCAUAUUUUAUAAUUACAUAGACGACCACACAUCUUAGACGGCCCAAAUUUAAUUUUUUUUUCGAGGAAGAUUAGCGCUGAGCUAACUGCUGCCAAUCCUCCUCUUUUUGCUGAGGAAGACUGGCCCUGAGCUAACAUCCGUGCCCGUCUUCCUCUCCUUUAUAUGUGGGACGCCUACCACAGCAUGGCUUGCCAAGCGGUGCCAUGUCUGCACCCGGGAUCCGAACCGGCGAACCCCGGGCCACUGAAGCGGAACGUGCGAACUUAACCGCUGUGCCACCGGGCCAGCCCACAGCCCAAAUUUUAGUAUCCCCUCCAUAAUGGAUCUCAAUCCUUAGGGAAUCCAAGAGAAGAGGCCUGUAAACCAAUCAAGGUUGGGCCUGGAAACUCAAGUGAAAUCUGACGAACAAAAGAAAAACAAGGUUAAUGGUUGGAGCCAAUUACAAGUUAAUUUCUCAGCCCAGGGGAUGGCCAGUCAAAAAGAUUUCCAGAUGUCAGGGUCGAAACAGCCUUUGCAUUUUGCAAUGUCUCUGAUGAUGUCAUUGGGUGUUCAGAUAAAGCUUUUAAGUGGCCUAUACAGCAACACACAUGAAGAGUCUCUAAACAUGGGCCAUCGUGCCCAGGGGAUGGCCAGUCAAAAAGAUUUCCAGAUGUCAGGGUCGAAACAGCCUUUGCAUUUUGCAAUGUCUCUGAUGAUGUCAUUGGGUGUUCAGAUAAAGCUUUUAAGUGGCCUAUACAGCAACACACAUGAAGAGUCUCUAAACAUGGGCCAUCGUGGUGAUCUCUCUUAAGUUUACACCAAGCCGUCCAGUUUCAGUUUUCAGGGCCUCGGGAAAAA
Molecule: long non-coding RNA, 1076 nt
Filed under: Equus asinus (donkey)
Lineage: Eukaryota; Metazoa; Chordata; Mammalia; Perissodactyla; Equidae
Description: lncRNA (ENSEASG00005033390.1)
Source: RNAcentral